GUAAAUUCUGUGCUGGAGGCUGGGGGAAUACGGAGGGGUCGAGCGUUAAUCGGGUGUUCGGUGCGUAUAGCGUUCGUAGUCGGUUCAGUAAGGCUGUGGGGAAAUCCCUGGGCUUAACCUGGGAACUGCAGGCGAUACUGGUGAACUAGAGGGCGGUAGAGGGUGGCGGAACUCCGGGUGUAGCGGUGAAAUGCGUAGAUAUCCGGAAGAACACCGAUGGCGAAGGCAACCACCUGGGCCUGCACUGACGCUGAGGUACGAAAGCGUGGGGAGCAAACAGGAUUAGAUACCCCUGUAGUC
RNAcentral lists this ribosomal RNA (300 nucleotides) under uncultured Methanimicrococcus sp. RNAcentral describes it as "bacterial SSU rRNA". It matches the Rfam family "Bacterial small subunit ribosomal RNA", at positions 496 to 795 of the family's 1533-position model. Lineage: Archaea; Methanobacteriati; Methanobacteriota; Methanomicrobia; Methanosarcinales; Methanosarcinaceae. The record is from RNAcentral.